This is an RNA transcript of Triticum dicoccoides, 2801 nucleotides long. It is a transcript of the gene named polyadenylate-binding protein 2-like, with no coding region annotated. The record is from RefSeq and is a predicted model, not a curated record. Lineage: Eukaryota; Viridiplantae; Streptophyta; Magnoliopsida; Poales; Poaceae. The transcript is spliced from 11 exons.
CAGCCGCCGCCUGGGCCCUUGAGCGCCGUAGUUGGGAGCGAAACCCUAUCCCUCCCAUUCCUACCAAACCCUAGAAAACCCAAAAAAAUCCGCAAAUUUACCCCCAAAAAUCUUGAAAAAAAUCAUCAGGAACCUAUCCUUCGGUCGGAUCCGCUUAUCUAUUAUCUCUCCUACCCGGUUGAUGAUGGAGGCGCAAGUUCAGGCGUCGGCAGCGCCAGCGGCUGCCGCGAUGGAGGGCGGCGCGUCUCCCGUGGCUGGGACUGCGGCAGCAGCCGCACCCGCAACCGCUGCGGCUUUCCCGGCGACGUCCCUGUACGUGGGGGAUCUGGACGUGAGUGUGCAGGACGCGCAGCUCUUUGACGUCUUCAGCCAGGUCGGCUCGGUGGUGUCUGUGCGCGUGUGCCGGGACGUCAACACCAGGAUGUCCCUAGGUUACGCGUACGUCAACUUCAGCAGCCCUGCCGAUGCUGCAAGGGCAUUGGAAAUGCUGAACUUUACUCCUGUUAAUGGGAAGCCUAUAAGGAUAAUGUAUUCUAACCGUGACCCAAGCUCACGUAAAAGUGGUGCUGCAAAUAUAUUUAUCAAGAAUCUUGACAAGUCAAUAGAUAACAAAGCGCUCUAUGACACAUUUUCUGCCUUUGGAAACAUUCUUUCAUGCAAAGUUGCUACAGAAAUGUCUGGAGAAUCCAAGGGUUAUGGUUUUGUUCAGUAUGAGCAGGACGAAUCAGCACAGAAUGCUAUCAAUGAACUCAAUGGGAUGCUUUUGAAUGACAAAAAGGUUUAUGUUGGGCCUUUUGUUCGUAAACAGGAAAGGGAAAAUGUUUUUGGCAGUCCCAAGUUCAAUAAUGUCUAUGUAAAGAAUCUAUCAGAAUCUACCACUGAAGAUAAUCUGAGAGAAUUGUUUGGUAAUUUUGGACCUAUAACUAGUGUUAUUGUAGUGCGAGGCGAUGAUGGUAAAUCCAGAUGCUUUGGAUUUGUGAACUUUGAAAAUCCGGAUGAUGCUGCAUGUGCUGUUGAGGAUUUGAAUGGCAAGAAAUUUGAUGAUAAGGAAUUGUAUGUUGGUAGAGCCCAAAAGAAGUCUGAAAGGGAGAUGCAAUUGAAGGAAAAUUUUGAGAAAAGCAAUAAAGAGACAGCUGACAGGAACCAAGGCACUAACUUGUAUUUGAAAAACUUGGAUGGUAGUGUUGAUGACGAUGAGAAGUUAAAAGAACUUUUUGCUGAAUUUGGCACUAUAACUUCUUGCAAGGUUAUGCGGGAUUCAAAUGGGGUCAACAAAGGAUCUGGUUUUGUUGCAUUUAAAUCUUCUGAAGAUGCUUCACGAGCUCUUGUGGCAAUGAAUGGUAAAAUGGUUGGCGGUAAGCCUCUUUACGUAGCACUUGCGCAACGCAAGGAAGAAAGAAGAGCCAGGCUGCAGGCGCAGUUUUCGCAAAUGCGUCCUGUGAUGCCACCGCCAGUUGCUCCGCGCAUGCCCAUGUACCCCCCUGGUGUUCCUGGAAUGGGCCAACAACUAUUCUAUGGCCAACCACCUCCAGCUUUUGUUAACCCACAGCCUGGAUUUGGUUUCCAGCAACAUAUGAUUCCUGGAAUGAGACCUGGUGUUGCUCCAAUGCCAAAUUUCGUCAUGCCAAUGGUGCAGCAAGGUCAGCAACCACAACGCCCAUUUGGAAGGCGCGCAGGUGCUGGUGGAAUGCAGCAGCCAAUGCCAAUGGGUCAUCAGCAGAUGGUUCCAAGGGGCGGCCGUGGUGGCUACCGUUAUCCGUCUGGCCGUGGCAUGCCUGAUGCUGCAUUCCGUGGUGUUGGAGCUAUGGUGCCAUCGCUGUAUGAGAUGGGAAGGAUGACUCCUGGUGACACUGGAGCACCGCAGCAAGUUUCUAGUGGAGCAUUAGCAUCUGCACUUGCUAACUCUCCGCCGGAGCAGCAACGACUGAUGCUUGGUGAAAGCUUGUACCCACUUGUUGAUCAGCUGGAGCAUGACCAGGCUGCCAAGGUUACUGGUAUGCUUCUGGAGAUGGACCAGACUGAGGUCCUUCAUCUAAUCGAGUCACCUGAUGCUCUGAAGUCUAAGGUCGCUGAAGCUAUGGAGGUUCUCCGCAGUGCUCAGCAGCAGCAAACCAAUGUUCCAGCUGAUCAGCUGGCUGCUCUUUCGCUGAGCGAUGGCUUUGUUGCUUCUUAGUUGGAAUGCUGCUUGUUUCUGGUUUCUGUGCUGCUGGAAUUUUGGAAAACUCCUGGUGAAGCGACGCUGGCAUCAGUCGCCGCUACUGUUGUUGCGGGCAGCUCUAGUGAGAAUGAGGGGAGUAAGAAGGUUAACAAGAAGAAUAAGAAGAAAGGCAAUCUCCGUGGAUUCAAGUUGAGGUUUAACUCAAAACGGCUGGGUCGGCUUGGGAAGCAGUUAUCACCAGAGAAACAGAGAAUUAUAAGGAAUGGCCCAUUUGGACACUUGUUGGACAUCUAGCCUUUCAAGGCGCCUCAUGAGCUCAUUGAGUUUGUUGUGAUGUUCAUGAAUCACACACUCCAUGGGUUCAAAUACAAGAACAAAUCCAUCAACUUCAGCAAACUCAUGGUGAGAAAGAUUUUCAACGUGCCAUCCGGUGAUAGACCUGUGAAGCUUCUAAAGAAGAGCGAUGAACAUGACCUUCACAACAUUUACAAAGAGGGGAACAUGGCGCCAAUCACCCAUGUUAUCAAGUUGCUCAAAGAUUGCAGCGAUGAGGAUAAGGUUAUGAUAAAGGAAAAGACUUCCUAUAUGUAGUCUGAUAGGAACCUAUCGUCAGACCAAUCGUGAUCCGUCGAUUUUUGUUUGA